UUGAUUACUAUUAUUCAAUACAAAUUAGGAUAAAAAAUAACAGGGUAAACACCAUUAAAAAGCUACUCUAAAUUUAGGUUGUUCCUAUUUUUGUCAUCCAAAAACUUUGUUAAUUAGGUCAUCACCAUUAAAAAAAUUGACCACAUUGGUCCACUGUUAAAUUUAACAGAUGCUCUCGUUCCCUUUUUUUAUUUUUUUCUUUACUUUUUUUAUCUCUUCCUUACUUUUUUUUUCAUCUUCCCCUUUCUAACCCAAAACCCUAACUGUUUCCACCCUUAAAGAUGUCAUCAAUUCCUCCAUCAAACUACUUUAGGUAAAGGUUGUCUUGUCAAUGAACGACGCUAAGGGACGCUUCUUCUUAAUCCCUAUUGUCCUUCUCCUUUCUCAUUACCUACAGAUUCUACUUCUCAUCGUUGCUGCUAUGAUCAUCUGACAUCUUCUCUAGCGUCAGACUAUCAAUCCAAAACCACCAAAGUGAAGCUCAAAGCCUCUUCUUCAAAUAUAUAGGAUUAGAUUUCUAAAAAGAACUUUCAAAAAUUUUAAGGUCACUUCCAAAGUUUUAGAAUUUUUGUGAUUUGAUCUUCUUUUCAUCAAUAUGGCUUGAUUUUGAUAUGUCUUUCUACUUUUGAGCUUACCGAUGGUGGCUCGACAAAAGUAGCAAUGACAUCUUUAAGGGGGCAAUUGUUAGGGUUUUUGGCUUAAAAAGGAGAAGAUGGAGAAAAAGGGAGGAGAUAGAAAAACUAAGGAAAUAAUAAGAAUAAAAAAGAAAAGAACAAUUUUAAAAUGGAUUGAACGGUGGAAGAGAUGAAUUUAAUUGUUGGUUGAUCAAUUUGAUCAAUUUCUUUAACAAUGGUGAUCAAAUUAAGAAAAAACUUUGGGUGACCAAAAUUGGAACAACCUAAUUUUAAAGUGACUAAUACAAUAGUUUACCCAAAAUAAUAUACAUUUUAUAAUACAGCCUUCGUAUUAAAAGUUCUAUAAAGUGUUAAAUAGCUUUUAUAACACUUGUUUUAGAGUGGUCAAAUACGUGUACAUGUAAGAAUAAUAUAAAAUUUAUAAUAUAGCUUUAUAAACUUAAUUUGCUAUGAAGUCAGAAUUUGUGUG
RNAcentral lists this long non-coding RNA (1104 nucleotides) under Gossypium barbadense (sea-island cotton). RNAcentral describes it as "long non-coding RNA (GBAR_LNC010285)". Lineage: Eukaryota; Viridiplantae; Streptophyta; Magnoliopsida; Malvales; Malvaceae. The record is from RNAcentral.